RNAcentral lists this unclassified non-coding RNA (420 nucleotides) under Hevea brasiliensis (rubber tree). The record is from RNAcentral. Lineage: Eukaryota; Viridiplantae; Streptophyta; Magnoliopsida; Malpighiales; Euphorbiaceae.
AAAUUGUGAGAGCGACAGAGGACCAUGUUUGGGCUGUGUCCCCAAAUCCACCCACGGCAUGCUUUCCUCUCAUUCUCAGAUUCACCAAAGCACUCGUUUCCCUUGCGGUCUCUGCCACUUCUCAGCCCUUUCGCCACCGCUCGUCCCCUAGUCAAAAGCAGCAGCAGCAACCAAUACAAAGCACGAGCAAGGUUUGGUCUAUACGCUGUCGACUAUAGUAAUGUCAGGCCUUCGUGCAUAAACAGCGAAUGGGGUGAUGGGUUGGACAGGGUGAAGAAGCUUCUUCAAGAGCUCUCCGAGACGAGACCGGAUAACCAAUUUUUAGGCUGAGUUUCAAUAUCUUGUUUAAUUGCUUUUAACUAUUCGACGUUUUCCCACUUCUUUUGAGCUGUUCACUGUGAAUAAAAGUAAGUAAAUACU